RNAcentral lists this ribosomal RNA (326 nucleotides) under bacterium ocnta361lb343onp9.8. RNAcentral's name for it is "bacterial SSU rRNA". It matches the Rfam family "Bacterial small subunit ribosomal RNA", at positions 51 to 379 of the family's 1533-position model. The record is from RNAcentral.
ACACAUGCAGUCGAGCGGAUGAGGGUAGCUUGCUACCUUGAUUUAGCGGCGGACGGGUGAGUAAUGUAUAGGGAGCUGCCCGAUAGAGGGGGAUACCAGUUGGAAACGACUGUUAAUACCGCAUAAUGUCUACGGACCAAAGUAUGGGACCUUCGGGCCAUAUGCUAUCGGAUGCCCCUAUAUGGGAUUAGCUAGUUGGUGAGGUAAUGGCUCACCAAGGCGACGAUCCCUAGCUGGUUUGAGAGGAUGAUCAGCCACACUGGGACUGAGACACGGCCCAGACUCCUACGGGAGGCAGCAGUGGGGAAUAUUGGACAAUGGGCGCA